RNAcentral lists this long non-coding RNA (9513 nucleotides) under Acanthaster planci (crown-of-thorns starfish). RNAcentral describes it as "uncharacterized LOC110982499". Lineage: Eukaryota; Metazoa; Echinodermata; Asteroidea; Valvatida; Acanthasteridae. The record is from RNAcentral.
UGGUUUCCUGACAAACAACAGAGGGCGGUAUUCAACAACACUACAAGACCCUCUGCACCAAGGCAGUGAAGCAGAAUUGUUCGUUUCCUCUCUGACGAAAAUUCGUCUUCACCUAUAGCAAGCAGGUAGUUUGCUUCCAAAGAACGGCCAGCUCUCCCGUUUCUUGUAGAAAAGGGGAGGGUUGAGUUGAGGAGCUUGCAGUCGCCAUGGGUGUGGUCGUCAACCUCGUCGCCAAAUAUUGUAUCGGAUGUUCGAACUCAAUAGAAAGGAAUGAGCACAAUUCAACAAACAGAAUGACAGGAACGCAGAGACCUAGUCUGCUGGGUGGAACUAAACUCAACAAAAUUUAAUCAUUUACACUUCUUCUUUUAUACACUUGGACUGGCCGCCAACGCGGACCGAUAUAUGCAGAAUAGUGCCAAAAUAACAUAACAGUGGAUAUCACAUCACAACGUUCCUUACCUGUCCCUCGUUAAUGAGCAGUGCUCCAUGGAAUCAUUCAAUUUUUUUUCUUAGAACACGGUGGCUUAUGAAUUUUGAAAGUUGUUUUAUCAGUGGUCUUUUAUAUUAAUGAAUAAGCAAAGCAGUGAUGGGUUGUUCCUAGCUUGAAAGGACCUGAGUGGACGGGGCAGUCUACAGCCUACAGGCACGGAGAUGGCUGUGGGGACCGAUCUGUGCGAUGCAGACCUUUCAGCACUUUGGACAGGAAAGGCCUUGGGUUGAGGGAGUCUCAGAUGUAGCCAGCUUCUUAUUACGCCUCUUCCUUUUGUCCUCAGCAGCUGUUCGCGCGUCAGUUUCGAAUUUCUGGCUGUCUGUGAUGAGACAGUGGCACCAGCCCACUCUGUCAAGAGCUUCCUGGUGUCAUGGUUGGUGAUGAUGCCAGCUAGAGCAAGCUGCAUCUUGAGCUGAUCCUUGAAGUGCUUCUUUCUGGCACCUCGAUAUUGCUUACCCUCACGAAGUUUCCUAAGGAAGAUAGCCUUCGUUGGACGGGAGUUCUCCAUUCUUGCGACAUUCAUUACCUGCCCAUCGCAGCAAGUGCUUCAGUACCAUAGCCUAGAUGCUUGGAAGAUGUGCUCUCUGUGGCACUUCCUCAUUUGAAACAUUAUCCUGCCACUUGAUGUUUAGGAUGGUGCGUAGACAGCAUUGGUGUCAAAGGCCAAAGGCCAUUGCUGACUUCGCAACUGACUGUGUGCUGAGUGUGUCGUCUGUGUGAGCAACCAAGUUAUCUUAGUUAUCAGCCAACAGGAGCUCUAGGACUGGCUGCUCCAAAGUCUUCGUAGGUGUCGUCUACAAUAUUGAUUUUCACGUUGACUGCCACGCACGAUUUGAAGGGCGUGCCAAUUUGCCAAGCGCUGUACGCAUGCUUGCAUAUUUAAUAGGUACCUUUCGGGUGUCUGUUUGAACAUGAGCAUUUUACAGAUAUACGCCCUCAACACUGCCAGCAGCGUAUUUGUUGUGUUCUUCGAUGAUGCCAGUGUAUUUGAUUUACAUUAAAAUAGCAUUUCAUAUCCUACUGGUAUACUCGUAGUGGCAGAAUCUGGUUUACCUGUGACUACGAGUAUACUUGUAGUCGGCAGUCAACGUGUUAACUUCACGAAGCAUCAUGCUGAAGAAUAUGGAGAACAGCGUUGGGGCCAGUAUACAUCCUUGUUUGACGCCAUUGCAGAAAACACAAAAAUAAUCACUGACGCCGGGAACUGAGACAAAUAUCCUCAAAGCCGCGCAUCCGCAUGCAGUUCCUACGCUUUUUCCUUGGCAAUGGCCCAAAUCUGCUAUUAACAACUGUUUGUUGAGUAGGCCUAUAGGUUGAAUAUGAUUGUAAAAGGCAAAAUGAAGCCCGCAAUUGGUUUUAAAAGGGCUUGGUUACACAGUUUUGGCGUGCUCCUCAGUAAAUUUUUGUCCUGCAGCCAAACUGCCAAACCGAGCCAAAAAUCAUCGAACAUGGCACUUUUGAUCAAACCAAACUUGAUGGCACUUUCGAUCAAUCCAAAUCUGAUAAAAAAAAGCAAAAACAACGAAAAACAGGUAACAGUUUGCGAGUUUGACACUGCAAACUUCGGCACACAUGCGCGUUCAGACAAACGAUGGCUGUGAAAUGCAUGUGGUGAGAAUUCACUAAUAAUCAACAGAGAAGAUGGAAGGUAUGGCAUUUCCGCUGCUCAACAAUGCCCGAGUCUCACUACAUCCGAUUGUGCUUAUGUAUAUUCAGACAUUCAUCAUGUACGUCAAUCUCCAAAAAAUGCGCCUUCAUGUUUCAUAUUAGGCCAAUGAUGUCACAAAUAGCCGUAAAAGGCGAUCUUUGAUUGGAUGAAUGUUGACGGUACGACUCGUGCUCGAUCUUAAGGCAACACGGAAAAAAGCCGAUUUUGCCGGGCGGACCAGCGCUUAAGCGCGCAACCAGAUUUAGUGAACGAGGUGGCCAAUAAACUUGUCUCUUGUUUAAUCCAGUGGUUGUAUGUAUACGUUGUGCUAGAAUUUUCUAGAUUCCUAGCAGUUGUUCCAAAAUCUCAAAUAACAAAAUGCCGACAAAAUACUGACGGAAAAUCACCCCUUUGGCCAUGUGUGUACGUAUCCAACCAUGGACCGAACCGAAUCUUGGCGCUUGAAGCACUGGUAAAUUUCCACCUCCUCUUUGUUGGGAGGCAGAAUCCUUGUGUCUGUUUUAUUUGAAAUCAUACAAUUUCGUGUCGACUUCAAAUGAUGUGGUCUGAAUAAUUUUCAAAGUAUAAUUUAAUGGGAUAUUGAUGAUGAAUUCUAAAAACUAGCCUCACAGUUAUCUCCUUCCCUUGUUGGAAGUUCCUAGCUCUAAAGAGGAUUUUGUAAAAUGGAGUUGCGUCAUGACUCCUUUUUACAAAAUCCUCUUUAGAGCUGGGGACUAUGAUUUGCUGAUCGUAUUUGUUAUGAACUACUAGUGUGCAAUGUCCAUACUUGAAUGAACCCAAACAUUUUCUCUGAAAAUAAUGGUUUAAUGCUGAAUAAGACUAGGAAGAGUUACGGCUUUACAGUGAACUAUAACAGAAAACAGUAGUUUAAGCCGAUGUCAGUAUCUUUACCCCACCCUACUAAAAAAAGGAAAUCUCACAGUGCUCCCCUCAAAACGUACAAUAUUAUAACGGAAUCUUGGCAUUUUAUAAUAUAUUUACCGUUAGUUUUCAGUUUUAAGGACCACGAGGGUGACGACUGGGCCACAACGCACGAAGCUAUUAAAACAAAUAAAGCUGCAGAAGCCAAACAUAAAGUUUUUUUUUGUCGUGGACAAUGAACUGCGUUUCAAACGCAAAGAUACAUGCAUGCAGUACUAGGCAAGCAUGAUUGUCAUAGGAAAAAACAUACAGGCUGGUAAAACCAUGCUGCCACUCGAAGUUCUUAGGCCUUAAGUUCUGCAGGGCUAUAAAUUGUUGAUGUGAUUAGAGAAGAAACGAACGGAAAACAGGUCUUCACCCUCGGGUGUCAAAUCAAUUGUUAUCUAAAUUGAAGUAUAUCUGCCACCACUGGAUAAAUAUACAAUUAUCUGCAAUGUCAAUAACAAUAUUAAGCGGCAAAAAAGUCUCCGAGCUGGCUGACGCGUCAACGCGGUGGAACAUGCGUGGAAGCAUGGUUGCCAUGUUCCUUGGAUUCUUAUACGUAAGUCAAUGCAGUUUUUCGGACAGGGAAUAGAUGAUCUGAAAAAGCAGCGAUUGCGUGCUCAAGGGAAACUUCCGACUUAACGGGGGUUUAAUGAAUGAUGGAAUUAUUUUAUGGCGACAGAACGCAACUACGAAAGCGUUCGUAUCCGAACGAAAACUGAAACCAUAAAUGUACUAAUCCAGGUCUUCAUACAAAUUUUUUUUUAAAUAUCAGUAGCAAUUGUGAAAAAAAAUUCACGAAACGGGUUGAAUUCUGUACCCGCGUCUUGCCGCCUGUCCGGGAAAACUGGUGGUCUCAUUGUUGGUGGGAUAUGUUCGCUGAUUGUUUUCGGACUUGUUAUCCCAAGCAGUCUAGUGGCAGUGCGUACAAGAAAUUUUACAAUUUUGUUCGUACAAGCAUGUAACUUUGCUGACGAUCAAGGAUCAAUGAAUCUUGUUUCCCCGCAGCGUCGAGAAAUGCAUUGUAUAUUACUGCUCUUAUUUAUCAAUAUUUGGUACAAAAUUAAGCCAUUACCUUCAUGGACAAUUGCAUGCUGAAGGUAGACUGGUAGCGAUUUUUGAGCUGUGAAUUCGCAGAAUAUCUGGCGUAUUCAUGAGCCUGGUAAUUUACUUAAGCCUUACAUCCGCGGACACGCCCGGUUGUCAAGGGGUCCUUUGUUUGUCGAAGACUUAUGACGUGCUCUUCGUGAUUCCGCAGGAUGUCCGCGGCGCAGAACGGUUGGUCAAUCUCGUGAUGCCGCCAGUCAGGUCUGUAAGGACUGCGUAGAGACCGAUGUUCUGCUCUUUGCACUUUUCCUGUAUCUGUCCUGGAAAUUAUGUUUGUGGUGCCUUGUUUAGCACAGAAGCCACAAUGAUUCUCUGGAAUGUUCUCCAUGGCAAAUGUGGGAGUGAGACUGUUCAGGACGACGCAGGCUAGGAUCUUGCCAGCAGUGGAGAGUAGCGUGAUGCGUCAGUAGUUUGAGCAGUCUGUUUUCUUGUCCUUGUUCUUGUAUGGGGGGUGACAACGGCAUCUCUUAGGUCUUGUGGGAUGGUUCUCCUCUCCCAGCAAGCAGCGAACAAGCCCUCAAGUCUGACUUGCACCAAGUCAACACCUCACUUGGAGACUUCUGCUGGGAUUCUGUCACUGCCAAGUGAUUUCCCAGAUUACAUUUCGGUAAAUGCCUUCUUGAUCCCGAAGAGAUUUGGUGCGAAGUCAAGGUCCAGCCCACUUCUUCCUUAGGAAUCAGCUCUGGCGACAAAGCGUUUGUUGCUAAAGAGGUUCUCAAGGUGCUCCUACCACACUGCAUGAUGGCGUUAUUGUCCGCCAGGAGAGUCGAGCCGUCCAAGGAGCGCACAGUGGUGCGUGGACUUGAUGGCGGGCGCCAGUCAUGGUCUUGGGGACCUUGUAGAAGGAGCCAGUGUCACCUGAAACCAGCCAGAUCCUGAAUCCGUUCGGCAAGAGCGAUACACCAGUUUUGUUUUGUUUUGUUUUUAGGAUUGAGGGUAAGGGUCUUUUUUGUUGGGAGGGGUUUGAAGGUGAAUGCGACUUUGCAGCAGACCAGUCUGUGGUCGGUGUAGCAGUUGGCACUUGGCAUUACUCUUGAGUGUAUUAUGUCUUUGAUGACCCGCUAGUGUGUCGGAGUGUAGUCCAGGAGGUGCCAGUGUUUGGAGCGAGGAGUUUCCAGGUGGAUUUGAACCUGUCCUGCUGAGUAUUGUUGAUGGACGGUUCGUGUUCUGCACAAAACUCUAGCAAGAGUGGUCCAUUGUUGCUGUACUUGUCUAGAUCGUGUUUGCCUAGCGCUCCUCUCCACUAGUCUGAUCCUGUCCUACCCUAGCAUUAAAGUCCCCCAGAAUGACGAGUUUGUCCUUGGGAUCCACAUAACGCAGAAGAUUAUGCAAGUUACGGAAGAAGGCCUCCUUGAUGCCAGAGUCGGCAUGGAAGGGUGAGGGCAUAGACACUGACGAUGGUGGCAAACCUGUUGUCCCGCAAUGGAAGAUGCAUCGACAUAAGGCGGUCUAAGUGGUCAGUUAGCAGCUGUGGAGUCAGCUGGCAAUUGCUGUCUUGAUCGUACACCAAAGAAUUGUUUCUCUUCCUUUGCCUUCCCUGAUCAGAGUAGUGUGUAAUCUGUGACUGUUGAGCUGCGAAGCGUACUCCACUAGCAGCAGCAAUGUCGACUUGCUGCCUGGCUAGUUCUAUUGCAAGUAGUGCCGUGUGCCUCUCAGGGUAGUUGCUUUCCUCUGCAUCCAUCAAUGUGUACAUUCUAGUACGCAAGUUUCAGGGUUUUUUCUUUAAUCUCCUUAUUUUCUGACCGCUAGUAGAGAUGACCGUUGGCUGCAGCUAGCUAAAUGGGUUUGGUGAAACAAGCUGGGUUUAGACCACCUUGUCUAGGUCCUCCUCCAUUCGGAUUCAGUAUAAUUUGGGGUUCCAGAUCAUUAUUUCGAGAUUAUUUGGCCAAAAUUUUGUUUCCAGCUGUCAUGUUUGUAAAAUAGCCCAACUGUAUAGAUAGAAAAUGCAUGUAGUUUCACAUAAAAACGUUUAGAGGCGUGAACUAAGCAUGUGAAUCAGAAGUGCAUGUUAUGUGUAUUUUUGACAGGAGGCUCUGGAGUUUCUUUGUGCAACACACAUUACCAGUAUAAUCAGUAUCAGUAUUUGGGGGGUUGGUUGCUUUGCUGCUGUUUAUCCAUGUGCUUGGUUGUUGUUUUUUUCAAUUCUGGACUUUGGGUUGUAACAAGUUAACAAUUAUGUGAUAUCUUCAAGUAAACUUCAAUUUUCAAUUCUGAUUGGUCAAUCCAUGGCAAAAAAAGUGUGACAUAUAACGGUAUUGCACGGUUCAUAACAAACUCUGCAUAAUGUGCUAUUCUAACUCCACUUAUUCUAGCGCCAUUUUUCUGCGAAAACGAAACGUCAAUGCAAAGACGGCACGUUUGCAAAUUGCACUCGCAGGCCCCUGUAACAAAGAUCUUUACUAUGUAUCAAGUUUGCGUGAAGAUAAAUUCGUUAUCACACUCGCGUUCGUGGAACACUGAAUGAUGUAGUGCGUCUAUGUCUCAUUUACCACUUGGCCUUUAGCCUCGUGUUUAUACAAGACACAGGUGCACCACGUUAUAAGUUAUCACACGUGUGCGAGUGGAACAAAGCCUUUUGGUAUAUGCGACACAGACGCACUACACUAUUGUGCGUUCCACGAGCAUGAGCGUGAUACUGAAUUUUUCUUCAGGCAAAGUUGAUGCAAAGUAUAGAUCAUGUUACAAGGGCCUAUGCGCGAAAACGGACCACCUUUGAUUGGUACGGUAAACUUUACAGCUGUGCGUUUGGCUUUUAGCGUAAAGAACAGCGCAUUACUCGGGUUUUGAGAUGGACCGUGCAACACUUAACAAUUGUUGCCUGCCGUGUAGGGUUUCAUGGUGUUUCGUACACCCAAGGGGCAAAUGGCAUUCAAGGCGAAACUUGUGACAUGCUACAUUAUUCUGUGUUCCACGAGUGUAAGUGUGAUAAUGAAUUUAUCUUCAAGCAAACUUGACACUCUUGCCAUGGAUCGCCCAAUCAACACUGAGAAUUAAAUUUUACCUGAAGAUAAUAUUCCGUGUCCCACUCACGCUUGUGUGAUAACUAAUAAUGGCAUAAACUUGGGGUCCAUUAACUCUGUUGUAGGAUUGUGUUUACAUGAAUUUUGAAUUUUACAUAAAAUUCCAAUUUACAGCAUCUCAUGAAUUUUUUUUCACCAAACGGUCUUUAUUGCACGCCUACAUAAAAUUGGGUGCGCAGAAUUGAAAGCUUUAGGGUGUAGAGAUACUUUUUCUUACAUUGCUGGCACAUUCAUGUCUGCACCGUCCUGUUAUUAAUGAUAAAUUGAUUGAUAGACAUGAGGGGGCAUGCUGUGGCCUAGUAGUUAAGGUUCGCAGCUUCUGAGUCGGAGGUUCGAAUCCAGCUUGUGGCAGCAUGUUGCAAGUCACUUUAACCCCCUGUGCUUCUCUCCACCCUGGAGUAAAUGGGUACCUGUGAGGGCAUAUUUGUUUUUGUUGGCCGUAUGCGUGUGCCUUUGGUAGGGCUGCAUCAACAGGGACCUGAGAUUGAAAAUUCAGGAAUGUUCAGUUGUGAGCCCAACGUACAGCGAUAAUAAUGAUGCCCCUUGAGCACUAAGCAGGGUGGAUACGCGAUAUAAGAAAUCGGUAUUAUUGUUGUUGUUAUUAUUAGCAUCUCGUGUCCAUUGGAAUAAACUUUAAAUGUAAAUAAUCACUACUCUCUCUAGUAAUCACUUUUGUAAUGGUAUGUGGCAAAAUUUCCGCUUACCGCAACAUGUAUGCUUUGUUUUCACUUUUGAAUAUGGUAUCCUUAAAUUGAAAGCACUUUAUUUGUUUCAAUUGUAAUGAAGGCCGUUAUUGCGCCAAACCUUGUAGUUGAUAUUAUUUCAGAAGCUAAUUUUAAUUUCUUGGGUUUUUAAUUUCGAAUAUUUGAUCGUUGGCAUUUGUAAAAACUAGUAUCUAACAUAUGAGCCAAAAUUGUGUGGUGGUUUUUCAUGGGAUUUUGUCGAUAUAUCAAGUAGCCUACAUGUAUUUGUCAAGUGUUGGUCAAGUAAUUUUUAUAGUGUUUUUACUGUUAAAAAAAGUCAUCUAACCCAGAUGGUACAGGAAAGCUGCAAAGUAUGGCACACACUCAUUCAGGCUUUUAAAUUUCAGACUGCAGAGAGCUGGUUUUGUGAAGUGAAUGUAGGUAGCCUCGAGCACACGCAAAUGACUGAAGUUGAAUGCUUUGGCUAGUACAGUACACUGCAGUCUGCUGUAUUGUUUGGAGCAUUCCGGGGGAUCGAGCAAGUGUUUCCCUGUUGUGGAUGAAAGUAUCGACGGUUUGGGUGUCUGGCAUGAGUCUUUACCUGCGCGGGUCGGUUGCUUACGCGACGCUGACAAGUUACGAAAGAUAGAAGAAAUAUGCUGCUUGUGGGCUAUAACAAAGUAAAGGAAAUUUAAUUAUUUUACUGCCAUGUUUUAUUUAUCAGUGUAUUUUUUGUGUUAAUUAUUUCCCCCCUGUUUGAGAAAUAAGUCUGCCCCGGUACUCCAGCUUUAGACUCUUAGACAUGUAAAGGAGUAUUAUACAAAUUCAGAUUUGGUCGAGUGAUUUUGUUUAAUGGUCUACAUGUAGAGACCUGUGCAUAGCCAAGGCACUGCUGUAUAAACCUUCAGGGUGUGCAGUCACCAUAUAUUCCUUUGGAAUUGUGUGUGGUACUGUGUGUACCCGGGCGUGGCCCAACCUAAAAAUCCAGUUCUAACAGAAACUGAUCGGUAUGUGAGUACAGAUGUUGGAAGUAAUUCUCAUUCUUCGAACUGGAUAUGGAUUUAUUUGUGCAAAACAAUUAUGCAUCAUUUUAAUGGGCUUUUCCCACUGAGGAGCUACCCGAAGACUGGGUUCCAGGUCUUUGGUGGACCACACCUAGUGGGAGUCAAACAUCCUGUGUGGAUUUGUCUUGAAAUAUUCAUGUGAUAACCCGUUUACGAUGUGGAGUGAGUCGGGAGCAACACCGUACUGUACCCAACUGUCUUCAAUCCAGUGUGUGCCAAGUAGCUGUCUUUGUUGGACAAGUCCGGUCAACUGGCUACCAAUUUACAUACUUACCUGUGGCCAAGGACAGUGUCCAGAUCGGCACAUCAUUCUGACAUUCAGGUCUGCCCAUUGAGCAAACAGUUAUCAGGCAGGGAACAUCUCUUCAGAAUUACAUCUGGCCAGGGACACUUAGUUCGAGCGAGUUGACUGGUUGUGGAAAUCCUAGUGUAGCGCUGCUUGGCGAUAGAGUCAAUCUCACUAUAGCCCAGUGUUAAAUUUUCUUUUUUUCCUUUAAUUUUUUUUGGAUAGUAUUAAUUUUCACGAUUUCUUGUAGAAUUAAAUAGAUGUACCAAUUUGGUCAACAUAAACUAA